AUACGUAGGUGGCAAGCGUUGUCCGGAAUUAUUGGGCGUAAAGCGCGCGCAGGUGGUUCCUUAAGUCUGAUGUGAAAGCCCCCGGCUCAACCGGGGAGGGUCAUUGGAAACUGGGGAACUUGAGUGCAGAAGAGGAUAGUGGAAUUCCAAGUGUAGCGGUGAAAUGCGUAGAGAUUUGGAGGAACACCAGUGGCGAAGGCGACUGUCUGGUCUGUAACUGACACUGAGGCGCGAAAGCGUGGGGAGCAAACAGGAUUAGAUACCCUGGUAGUCCACGCCGUAAGCGAUGAGUGCUAAGUGUUGGGGGGUUUCCGCCCCUCAGUGCUGCAGCUAACGCAUUAAGCACUCCGCCUGGGGAGUACGGUCGCAAGACUGAAACUCAAAUGAAUUGACGGGG
This 397-nucleotide ribosomal RNA is filed under the name uncultured bacterium. RNAcentral's name for it is "partial 16S ribosomal RNA". It matches the Rfam family "Bacterial small subunit ribosomal RNA", at positions 523 to 918 of the family's 1533-position model. The record is from RNAcentral.